RNAcentral lists this ribosomal RNA (398 nucleotides) under uncultured bacterium. Its description in RNAcentral is "bacterial SSU rRNA". It matches the Rfam family "Bacterial small subunit ribosomal RNA", at positions 29 to 414 of the family's 1533-position model. The record is from RNAcentral.
AAUCAACGCUGGCGGCGUGCCUAACACAUGCAAGUCGAACGCGAAAAUCCCGCAAGGGAUCAGUAGAGUGGCAAACGGGUGAGUAACGCGUGGGCGACCUACCUUCGAGUGGGGGAUAACCUUCCGAAAGGAGGGCUAAUACCGCAUGACAUCCCGUGUUUGGAUACACGGACAUCAAAGCCGGGGAUCGCAAGACCUGGCGCUUGGAGAGGGGCCCGCGUCCGAUUAGCUAGUUGGGAGGUAACGGCUCACCAAGGCUCCGAUCGGUAUCCGGCCUGAGAGGGCGGACGGACACACUGGAACUGAGACACGGUCCAGACCCCUACGGGAGGCAGCAGUGGGGAAUUGUUCGCAAUGGGCGCAAGCCUGACGACGCAACGCCGCGUGGAGGAUGAAGA